This is a long non-coding RNA of Lytechinus variegatus (green sea urchin), 498 nucleotides long. RefSeq lists it as uncharacterized. NCBI's taxonomy places the organism in Eukaryota, Metazoa, Echinodermata, Echinoidea, Temnopleuroida, Toxopneustidae. The transcript is spliced from 2 exons. The record is from RefSeq and is a predicted model, not a curated record.
ACCUAAUUAAACCAUUUACCCAUUCACUUGAUGUUUCUCGACUUUACUCUUUGCAUCAAAUUGUAUUAAUCUCUUUAUAAAGCCUUAGUUCCAUGAGUGUGGCAUGUCCAUUAUGGUUGUCAAAGAUGCUUGAGUUGGUAUUCAAUUCAAUAACGAAUUACUUUAUAAAGCAGGAUACAAGAUCAAUGUAUCCUCUUGAUAAAAUCAGUCAUGUGUAGUAGAGCUGUUUAAAAGAAAGAAAUCAUCCAAAGACCAUGUAGUUGGGUUUUCUUUUAUGUGUUAGCAAUUUUGAAUUCCCUUGUGGAAGGGGCGUGAAAUGAGAUUGCAUUGUGUUGCUUAUUGGAGGAAAUUUAAUCCGUUCAAGACCAGUUUACAAACUGGUUGGUUUUUGUUCAUGGACUGGCUCACAUCUUCAAUGAACUGGGCUACACGGCUGAAAGGAACAAAAGUGCCCUCCUCUUCCGAGACUUGGACCAGCAGUAUUCCAUCUUUCAAAUA